UGAGAGAUUAAUUUUUCAUUUGAAGUCCGAUCUUGCUCUCUCUUUCUUCCCUAUGAGAAGCCCUUCUUCUUGGUGAAUUUGGGUAUUUUAUUUUUGGAGAUGUUGGGGAGAAAUAUUCUUGGUUUUGGGACAGAUUGCUGUUCGAUUUUCUUGACUGCGUGGGAACUCCAUUUUUUGAGUCGACUUCUUGGGUUCUAUUUCUUAGUGAAGAACCGUGUUUUUACUUGGUGAUCGGUGCAUGAUUUCUCGAGUUUUUCAACAAAUAUAAUUUGUAAAACCCUUGUAAUACUAUAGAUACAUAUGGUAGUGGUGCUGUUCCAUUUUUGGUUUGUAUGAACCUAUGUGGUUCGAAGUGAGCAGCUCGGGUUUUUUGAAGAUCUUAGCGGUCUGGUUCAGUUCCUUAGUGGAACCUGAUUUGUAGUGUGAUUUGUAUAUGAAUCUCAGUGAUUGAUUGUUGGCAGAAUUUGUGUUUUGGUAGAUCUAUGUGAUCGGUGUUGAUUCCUUUGUGGAAUAUUGACAUGCCUUGUGAUUUCUCUUGAAAUAAGCCUCGUUCAUUGUGGGAAAUUCGACAUUUGUGAGACCUUUGUGAUCUCAGUUAGUUUCUGUGUGGAAUAGUGGUUGCCUUGUGUAGUUCUAGAAAAGAUAAGUCCUAUAUUUGGUUCUUUGUAAAUUUCUGGAACACUGUUGUAUUUUGUUGCCUGAUUUUUG
Molecule: long non-coding RNA, 708 nt
Filed under: Olea europaea subsp. europaea
Lineage: Eukaryota; Viridiplantae; Streptophyta; Magnoliopsida; Lamiales; Oleaceae
Source: RNAcentral